This 1495-nucleotide ribosomal RNA is filed under the name sediment metagenome. Its description in RNAcentral is "bacterial LSU rRNA". It matches the Rfam family "Bacterial large subunit ribosomal RNA", at positions 527 to 2011 of the family's 2925-position model. The record is from RNAcentral.
CGGAGAGGGGAGUGAAAUAGAACCUGAAACCGUAUGCGUACAAGCAGUGGGAGCCUACUUUGUUAGGUGACUGCGUACCUUUUGUAUAAUGGGUCAGCGACUUAUUUUCAGUGGCGAGCUUAACCGAAUAGGGGAGGCGUAGCGAAAGCGAGUCUUAAUAGGGCGUCUAGUCGCUGGGAAUAGACCCGAAACCGGGCGAUCUAUCCAUGGGCAGGUUGAAGGUUAGGUAACACUGACUGGAGGACCGAACCGACUACCGUUGAAAAGUUAGCGGAUGACCUGUGGAUCGGAGUGAAAGGCUAAUCAAGCUCGGAGAUAGCUGGUUCUCCUCGAAAGCUAUUUAGGUAGCGCCUCGUGUAUCACUGCUGGGGGUAGAGCACUGUUUCGGCUAGGGGGUCAUCCCGACUUACCAAACCGAUGCAAACUCCGAAUACCAGCAAGUGUCAGCACGGGAGACACACGGCGGGUGCUAACGUCCGUCGUGAAAAGGGAAACAACCCAGACCGUCAGCUAAGGUCCCAAAGUCAUGGUUAAGUGGGAAACGAUGUGGGAAGGCUUAGACAGCUAGGAGGUUGGCUUAGAAGCAGCCAUCCUUUAAAGAAAGCGUAAUAGCUCACUAGUCGAGUCGGCCUGCGCGGAAGAUGUAACGGGGCUCAAACCAUGCACCGAAGCUACGGGUUCAACGUAAGUUGAGCGGUAGAGGAGCGUUCUGUAAGCCUGUGAAGGUGAGUUGAGAAGCUUGCUGGAGGUAUCAGAAGUGCGAAUGCUGACAUGAGUAACGACAAUGCGAGUGAAAAACUCGCACGCCGAAAGACCAAGGGUUCCUGCGCAACGUUAAUCGACGCAGGGUGAGUCGGUCCCUAAGGCGAGGCUGAAAAGCGUAGUCGAUGGGAAACGGGUUAAUAUUCCCGUACUUCUGGUUACUGCGAUGGGGGGACGGAGAAGGCUAGGCCAGCUUGGCGUUGGUUGUCCAAGUUUAAGGCGGUAGACAGGGAUCUUAGGUAAAUCCGGGAUCUCAAUGUCGAGAGCUGAUGACGAGCUUUCUUUUAGAAAGCGAAGUGGUUGAUGCCAUGCUUCCAGGAAAAGCCUCUAAGCUUCAGGUAAUCAGGAACCGUACCCCAAACCGACACAGGUGGUCGGGUAGAGAAUACCAAGGCGCUUGAGAGAACUCGGGUGAAGGAACUAGGCAAAAUGGCACCGUAACUUCGGGAGAAGGUGCGCCGGUGAGGGUGAAUGACUUGCUCAGUAAGCUCAUGCCGGUCGAAGAUACCAGGCCGCUGCGACUGUUUAUUAAAAACACAGCACUCUGCAAACACGAAAGUGGACGUAUAGGGUGUGACGCCUGCCCGGUGCCGGAAGGUUAAUUGAUGGGGUUAGCGCAAGCGAAGCUCUUGAUCGAAGCCCCGGUAAACGGCGGCCGUAACUAUAACGGUCCUAAGGUAGCGAAAUUCCUUGUCGGGUAAGUUCCGACCUGCACGAAUGGCGUAACGAUGGC